This 429-nucleotide long non-coding RNA is filed under the name Gossypium raimondii (Peruvian cotton). Its description in RNAcentral is "long non-coding RNA (GRAI_LNC009069)". The record is from RNAcentral. Lineage: Eukaryota; Viridiplantae; Streptophyta; Magnoliopsida; Malvales; Malvaceae.
AAGUAUCCAAUUAAAUGCAAAAAAAGUAGGGGCUUAAUUACUUUUUUGAAAAAGUUUCAGGGCCUUUUUUAUGCAUUUUGAAAGUUCAAGUACCAAUUGAGUGCAAAAAAAAAAAGUAGGGGCUUAAUUGCUUUUUUUUUUUUUUUAAGUUUGAGGGUUUUUUUGAUGGAUUGUGAAAGUUGAAGUACUCAAGUGAGUGAAAAGAAAGGGGGCUUAAUUGCUUUUUUUUUUUAAAUUAAAGAUCUUUUACACCCUUAAACCUUUGGGUAAUUAUAUGAUUAUUUAUGGGUAAGAUCCGGUAUAGUAGUUUACUUUUUUAACUUUAGUGUUUCACUUUUUUUUUAUAUAUUUUUCGUAAAAAUUAUUUUUAUUAUACCCUAUAAACACUUGUCAUCAACCCACUCUUGCUUAUGGAAAUUAAAAAUUUUA